UCCAGUGUAUACCUUCGUGAUUUUUGUAUUCAAUCUCAGAAAUCUGAAAGAAAGUAUCAGAAAGGGAAGAGAUUCGUCAACCAAAAUUUAAACCGAGUUCAAAAAAUAAUGAGCUGACUGGAUUUGCAAUCGACGUUUAAACAGAUUUUCUUUCAAAUCCCAAUACUUGAAAUUUAUGCUGCAAAACGAUCUCCACCUGAAAUUGAUUCUAUUUAUUAAGUCCAGUAGAAAAUGUCCUGCAUUGGAAAGAGCAUGGUCCCAUCGAUAAAUCGAAAAAAAAACUAAAAGUGUGGAAAAGGGAUUUGAUUUCAGCGUAUAAUUCCGCAUAUCCUGGUACAAUAUUGUCAUUUUUUGAAAAUUAUUUUAUAUAGGUUUACGUAUUGCUUGAAAUUAAUCCCACAGAAAAUGGAAAAAAUGUAAACAGGCGAUUAGGAAAAGGCGAUUAUGAGUCAGUGAGUUCGCAAGAUAUAAAAAAUCCAGCCAGGCUUUACCUCACUUGCCUUAUUACUUGGAAUGCAAAUAUGACCAAAAUUUCGAUCAAAGUGGCAGCAAAGUGGUGGUUACAAUAUCUACUGUCAAAAGCGAA
Molecule: long non-coding RNA, 586 nt
Organism: Ceratitis capitata (Mediterranean fruit fly)
Lineage: Eukaryota; Metazoa; Arthropoda; Insecta; Diptera; Tephritidae
Exons: 3
Source: RefSeq, a predicted model, not a curated record